UAAAACACUGAGCUAUCCAGAAGUUCAUCUAUCAGAAAAGGGUAUUGCCUAACUGGUGUCAGAGAACUGGAUCUAAGAUGUUCUUCAUGCAAAGGAUUUGAGCCAAGCCAACUCGGACAUCUUGGAGAACCUUUGACCACAGGUGGCUUGAGAGGUUAGACUCUUAUAAAGCAGAUGACCUGGAAGUGAACCAUGAAAAACCAUGGAAGCACCCUGGGCUUUGAACUCUGACUUUCUCAAUCUAGCAGCCAUAAGAAAGCAACCAAAUGAGCCACCAGAUAUUCCUCUUCUUCCCUUCUGGAACCUGAAAGAUGAAAAAAGGUGCACUCUUAAAACUCAGUGGUUCCUUUUCAAGAGCAUAAUCCACUCUGCCACCUCAUUCUUCUACUGUAUGUGCAGAUAAGACAGGACUUGCUGUAUGGCGCCCAGACACUUGUGUGUUGGUAGCACAAAUUCUUUGCUACAUGCUGUCACUAUAUGCUGUAGUUUUCGUGCUCUGUUUGUAUAUAAACCUUAGCCCAGAUUUGUCUUAGUGCAGACAUUGUGGAAAUAAAUAAAUAUGACAAAACCCA
Molecule: long non-coding RNA, 572 nt
Filed under: Pogona vitticeps (central bearded dragon)
Lineage: Eukaryota; Metazoa; Chordata; Lepidosauria; Squamata; Agamidae
Description: lncRNA (ENSPVIG00000009631.1)
Source: RNAcentral